UUACGGGAGGCAGCAGUGGGGAAUAUUGGACAAUGGGCGAGAGCCUGAUCCAGCCAUGCCCCGUGUGUGAAGAAGGUCUUCGGAUUGUAAGGCACUUUAAUUUGGGAGGAAGGGCAGUUACUAAUACGUGAUUGUUUUGACGUUACCGACAGAAUAAGCACCGGCUAACUCUGUGCCAGCAGCCGCGGUAAUACAGAGGGUUGCAAGCGUUAAUCGGAAUUACUGGGCGUAAAGCGCGCGUAGGUGGUUUGUUAAGUUGGUGUGAAAUCCCGGGCUCAACCUGGGAACUGCAUUCAAAACUGACUGACUAGAGUAUGGUAGUAGGGUGGUGGAAUUUCCUGUGUAGCGGUGAAAUGCGUAGAUAUAGGAGGAACACCAUGUGGCGAAGGCGACCACCUGGACUGAUACUGACACUGAGGUGCGAAAGCGUGGGGAGCAACAGGAUUAGAUACCCUGGUAGUCCACGCCGUAAACGAUGUCAACUAGCCGUUGCGGAGCCUUGAGCCUCUUAGUGGCGCAGCUAACGCAUUAAGUUGACCGCCUGGGGAGUACGGCCGCAAGUUAAAACUCAAAUGAAUUGACGGGGGCCCGCACAAGCGGUGGAGCAUGUGGUUUAAUUCGAAGCAACGCCGAAGAACCUUACCAGGCCUGACAUCCAAUGAACUUUCUAGAGAUAGAUUGGUGCCUUCGGGAACAUUGAGACAGGUGCUGCAUGGCUGUCGUCAGCUCGUGUCGUGAGUGUUGGGUUAAGUCCCGUAACGAGCGCAAGCCCUUGUCCUUAGUUACCAGCACGUCAAUGGUGGGACUCUAAGGAGACUGCCGGUGGACAAACCGGAGGAAGGUGGGGAUGACGUCAAGUCAUCAUGGCCCUUACGGCCUGGGCUACACACGUGCUACAAUGGUCGGUACAGGAGGGUUGCUGGAGCUAAU
Molecule: ribosomal RNA, 930 nt
Filed under: Pseudomonas marginalis
Lineage: Bacteria; Pseudomonadati; Pseudomonadota; Gammaproteobacteria; Pseudomonadales; Pseudomonadaceae
Description: bacterial SSU rRNA
Rfam family: Bacterial small subunit ribosomal RNA
Source: RNAcentral